RNAcentral lists this long non-coding RNA (445 nucleotides) under Equus asinus (donkey). RNAcentral describes it as "lncRNA (ENSEASG00005028375.1)". Lineage: Eukaryota; Metazoa; Chordata; Mammalia; Perissodactyla; Equidae. The record is from RNAcentral.
GUGAGGAAGCUGAGAGUGAGGAGGAAGCUGAGGGUGAGGCAGGAGCUGGAGAGGAAGCAGGAGCGUCAGAUGAAGAGGGAGCUGCCGGGGACACAGGAGUUGCAGGCGUGGCAGGAUCUGUGAGCAUGGCAGGAGCUGCAGCUGAGGCAGAGGCUCCAGGUGAGGAAGGAGCUGCAGGUGUGGCAAGAGCCAUCAACGAGGCAGCAGCCCGGAGCCAGCACUGGGCGGCAGACCUUGCAGCCUCUGCUCGAUGCUAUGGCCUACCGGGUACUGAGAAGGUUUUCUGGGGUGGAAGAGCCGGGCUGUGGAGAAGAGUCUUUUGAGAGCUGGCUGCACCAUGCCAACGACACGCUGUACCUGUGGUGCCUCAUGUCAGAGAGGGAGAGGAGGAGGAGACUGGUGGAGAGCUUGGGUGGCCCCGCGCUGGAUCUCAUGUGCGGCCUCC